Paramuricea clavata is the source of this 356-nucleotide non-coding RNA. The record is from the annotation of a GenBank genome assembly. Lineage: Eukaryota; Metazoa; Cnidaria; Anthozoa; Malacalcyonacea; Plexauridae.
UAUAGUAGUGAAGAGUAUAGCAUUGUAGGUAGUGAAGGUAGUAGCGAGGGUAGCGGAGGUAGCGAGGGUAGCGGAGGUAGCGAGGGUAGCGACGGUAGCGAGGGUAGCGAAGGUAGCGAGGGUAGCGAGGGUAUCUAAAUCUAAUCUAAGAGAUUAUGACUAACAUAUAAUAAUGUGGUUAUAAUUAAGCUAUGACAAUUAAUACACUUGAAACUUAUGCAAACACUAAAAUACUGAUUUAUAUAGAGAACAGCUGACUGUCAAUUGCUCUUUUGAAUUGACUUAGAGAGAGCAUGUUUCUCGUACAUUUUGCGGUAACUCGUUCCACAUCACUUCCCCGCUAUAACUAAAAACUU